CGAUAGAGGUGCGGCAGACAUGAUUAGCUCCAUUCGCAGCGCAGGCAACGCCGGAGUGAAAGGGGACGCCGCCGAAGGGUCCCCCGCAUUCCUGUGCGGGCGAUGCCUGGGCCGCCGGAGAACAUCCGGCGGACUGUCGCAGCGAUGGUCUGCGGAGCGCUGUCA
RNAcentral lists this non-coding RNA (165 nucleotides) under bovine gut metagenome. Its description in RNAcentral is "Lysine riboswitch". It matches the Rfam family "Lysine riboswitch aptamer". Rfam says of the family: Riboswitches are metabolite binding domains within certain messenger RNAs that serve as precision sensors for their corresponding targets. Allosteric rearrangement of mRNA structure is mediated by ligand binding, and this results in modulation of gene expression. The record is from RNAcentral.